UAAAGAUUCAUCGCUGAUAGAUAGGCAUGCGUUCCAUUAGGCAGUUGGCGGGGUAACGGCCCACCAAACCGACGAUGGAUAGGGGUUCUGAGAGGAAGGUCCCCCACAUUGGUACUGAGACACGGACCAAACUCCUACGGGAGGCAGCAGUGAGGAAUAUUGGUCAAUGGGCGCGAGCCUGAACCAGCCAAGUCGCGUGAGGGAUGAAGGUUCUAUGGAUCGUAAACCUCUUUUAUAAGGGAAUAAAGUGUGGGACGUGUCCUAUUUUGUAUGUACCUUAUGAAUAAGGAUCGGCUAACUCCGUGCCAGCAGCCGCGGUAAUACGGAGGAUCCGAGCGCUAUCCGGAUUUAUUGGGUUUAAAGGGUGCGUAGGCGGCCUUUUAAGUCAGCGGUGAAAGUCUGUGGCUCAACCAUAGAAUUGCCGUUGAAACUGGGGGGCUUGAGUAUGUUUGAGGCAGGCGGAGUGCGUGGUGUAGCGGUGAAAUGCUUAGAUAUCACGCAGAACCCCGAUUGCGAAGGCAGCCUGCCAAGCCAUGACUGACGCUGAUGCACGAAAGCGUGGGGAUCAAACAGGAUUAGAUACCCUGGUAGUCCACGCAGUAAACGAUGAUCACUAGCUGUUUGCGAUACAGUGUAA
Molecule: ribosomal RNA, 637 nt
Filed under: uncultured bacterium
Lineage: Bacteria
Description: bacterial SSU rRNA
Rfam family: Bacterial small subunit ribosomal RNA
Source: RNAcentral